Molecule: ribosomal RNA, 240 nt
Filed under: uncultured bacterium
Lineage: Bacteria
Description: partial 16S ribosomal RNA
Rfam family: Bacterial small subunit ribosomal RNA
Source: RNAcentral
GAUCCUGGCUCAGGAUGAACGCUAGCUACAGGCUUAACACAUGCAAGUCGAGGGGAAACGACAUCGAAAGCUUGCUUUUGAUGGGCGUCGACCGGCUCACGGGUGAGUAACGCGUAUCCAACCUGCCCAUCACUUGGGAAUAACCUUGCGAAAGUAAGACUAAUGCCCAAUGAUAUCCCACGAAGGCAUCCGAAUGGGGUUAAAGAUUUAUCGGUGAUGGAUGGGGAUGCGUCUGAUUAG